GCAGGGCUUCUCUAAACCAGGAGGCUGGAAUUAGUGUGGAGAAAGCAGUAGGGAGGAAGUCAAUAGUCCCUUUCCCUGAGCUAAGAGAGAACAAGCCUGGUAGGAAGGCAUCCUGGGGUAAAAGCAGUAAGGUUGGUGGUGAUGCAGACAUUCAUUGUUCACUACAGGGUCCUGGACCCAGAGUAGAGGGUGGACCUGGGUUUCCUUACCAAUCACUGCAGUGUGGUGGUGUUACGGGCAGUGAACAGGAAGACUGCCAGAGUCACUGCUGGAGUGAUAGGGCCAGGGCAGCAGGCUUGAGGGCUGCCUGAUGCUGCUUGGGGACAGGGACUCUGAAAGACAACCCUGGAAGGGGAAAUGGCUGAGUCAUGAAGAGGUUGCAUCAGCUCUUGGAAUGAAAGAGGGGCUGCAGAGUGGGAGAGAGGUGGAGUGCACCUGCAGGAGAGGUGUCUGACGUGCAGAACUAAUCCGCAAAACUGCCAGGAGGAAGUGCUGUCUAGUGUGCUUCAAGCAAUCUACAGAAACCUUAGUAUCUCUUGAGAAGAAGUAAGAUCACAGAAGAACGAUGAAAGAAGUGAAGUUGCUACAAGGAUGGUGUUUGGAAGUAUUAUCAAGGACUCCCGCAGCUGGAUUGCCAAUGUCACCUACUGCAACACCCUUCCCUUCCUGAUGGGCCAUAUAGGUGACCAGCCUCCCAGAUCCUCAUAUGCCAUAGCUCCAUAGCACCAGCAGCAUCUAUGUGAGUGAUGCCAUCUUCCAACGGCAGGACUGUGACAUUCAGAGGCAUCUCUGGGAACCCCCAGACGAUUGGAUCCUGACUGGUCAUCGGGUGAAAUUUGUAUAUAGGGAGUGGUUUGUUCUUCCUAAUCCCAUGGAAUCUGCAGAAGAUAGUGUUUCCUGACUGGAAAUCCUGUUUGAACUGAGAUUGGCAAUACUGGGGCAGAAAUAUAUGACAACCGAGAUGUAUGCAAGGCCUGGAAGGUAGCACCGAAUAAUCAGAUGAAUGAUCAGAUAAACUAUAAAGAGAAAGAAAGAAGUCAGAGGUUCUGAUUCUGCCACUGUCACACAUGUUAAAUAAUACUUGAUGCUGGGAGCAGUCCCAUCUCUGAAAUCAGUGGAACUAUUUGGAGAAUAAGGCACUAUUCAGUGUGAGCAAGUGUUGGUAGAAUCAUGUCUCAAAGUCCCAAAUUCCUCAUUUAUUUAAAUAAAUCAGACUCUUAGAUUCCUCUAGGAUUUACCAAAGUCCCUAAGUAUCUUCCAGAGUUUUUUUUUCUCCUGAUAAGAAGUGCUAUCAAUGUGUAGAACA
Molecule: long non-coding RNA, 1306 nt
Organism: Mauremys reevesii (Reeves's turtle)
Lineage: Eukaryota; Metazoa; Chordata; Testudines; Geoemydidae
Exons: 7
Source: RefSeq, a predicted model, not a curated record